RNAcentral lists this ribosomal RNA (416 nucleotides) under Segatella hominis. RNAcentral's name for it is "bacterial SSU rRNA". It matches the Rfam family "Bacterial small subunit ribosomal RNA", at positions 1 to 402 of the family's 1533-position model. The record is from RNAcentral. Lineage: Bacteria; Pseudomonadati; Bacteroidota; Bacteroidia; Bacteroidales; Prevotellaceae.
UUUUACAAUGGAGAGUUUGAUCCUGGCUCAGGAUGAACGCUAGCUACAGGCUUAACACAUGCAAGUCGAGGGGAAACGACAUCGAAAGCUUGCUUUUGAUGGGCGUCGACCGGCGCACGGGUGAGUAACGCGUAUCCAACCUGCCCACCACUUGGGAAUAACCUUGCGAAAGUAAGACUAAUGCCCAAUGAUAUCCCACGAAGGCAUCCGAAUGGGAUUAAAGAUUUAUCGGUGAUGGAUGGGGAUGCGUCUGAUUAGCUUGUUGGCGGGGUAACGGCCCACCAAGGCAACGAUCAGUAGGGGUUCUGAGAGGAAGGUCCCCCACAUUGGAACUGAGACACGGUCCAAACUCCUACGGGAGGCAGCAGUGAGGAAUAUUGGUCAAUGGGCGAGAGCCUGAACCAGCCAAGUAGCGU